Molecule: ribosomal RNA, 350 nt
Filed under: uncultured soil bacterium
Lineage: Bacteria
Description: bacterial SSU rRNA
Rfam family: Bacterial small subunit ribosomal RNA
Source: RNAcentral
AGAUUGAACGCUGGCGGCAGGCCUAACACAUGCAAGUCGAGCGGUAGAGAGGUGCUUGCAUCUCUUGAGAGCGGCGGACGGGUGAGUAAUGCCUAGGAAUCUGCCUAGUGGUGGGGGAUAACGUUCGGAAACGGACGCUAAUACCGCAUACGUCCUACGGGAGAAAGCGGGGGACCUUCGGGCCUCGCGCCAUUAGAUGAGCCUAGGUCGGAUUAGCUAGUUGGUGAGGUAAUGGCUCACCAAGGCGACGAUCCGUAACUGGUCUGAGAGGAUGAUCAGUCACACUGGAACUGAGACACGGUCCAGACUCCUACGGGAGGCAGCAGGUGGGGAAUAGUUGGACAAGUGGG